RNAcentral lists this ribosomal RNA (492 nucleotides) under uncultured bacterium. RNAcentral describes it as "partial 16S ribosomal RNA". It matches the Rfam family "Bacterial small subunit ribosomal RNA", at positions 29 to 507 of the family's 1533-position model. The record is from RNAcentral.
AGUGAACGCUGGCGGUAGGCCUAACACAUGCAAGUCGAACGGCAGCACAGUAAGAGCUUGCUCUUACGGGUGGCGAGUGGCGGACGGGUGAGGAAUACAUCGGAAUCUACUUUUUCGUGGGGGAUAACGUAGGGAAACUUACGCUAAUACCGCAUACGACCUACGGGUGAAAGCAGGGGAUCUUCGGACCUUGCGCGAUUGAAUGAGCCGAUGUCGGAUUAGCUAGAUGGCGGGGUAAAGGCCCACCAAGGCGACGAUCCGUAGCUGGUCUGAGAGGAUGAUCAGCCACACUGGAACUGAGACACGGUCCAGACUCCUACGGGAGGCAGCAGUGGGGAAUAUUGGACAAUGGGCGCAAGCCUGAUCCAGCCGUACCGCGUGGGUGAAGAAGGCCUUCGGGUUGUAAAGCCCUUUUGUUGGGAAAGAAAAGCAGCAGGUUAAUACCCCGCUGUUCUGACGGUACCCAAAGAAUAAGCACCGGCUAACUUCGUG